GAUGAACGCUGACAGAAUGCUUAACACAUGCAAGUCGAUGGGGAAGUGGUGCUUGCACCAUGGUAACCAUGGCGGACGGGUGAGUAACGCGUAAGGAACUUGCCUGCGGGACCGGGAUAACAGCAGGAAACUGCUGACAAGACCGGAUAAGGUCAUUAAGCUGCAUAGCUUUGUGAUGAAAGGAGACGCCUGCGGAGAGCCUUGCGUCCUAUUAGCUAGUUGGAGGGGUAACGGCCCACCAAGGCGAAGAUAGGUAGCCGGCCUGAGAGGGUGGACGGCCACAAGGGGACUGAGAUACGGCCCUUACUCCUACGGGAGGCAGCAGUGGGGAAUAUUGGACAAUGGGGGCAACCCUGAUCCAGCAAUUCUGUGUGCACGAAGACGGUUUUCGGAUUGUAAAGUGCUUUCAGCAGGGAAGAAGUAAGUGACGGUACCUGCAGAAGAAGCGACGGCUAAAUACGUGCCAGCAGCCGCGGUAAUACGUAUGUCGCGAGCGUUAUCCGGAUUUAUUGGGCGUAAAGCGAGCGCAGGCGGUUAGAUAAGUCUGAAGUUAAAGGCUGUGGCUUAACCAUAGUACGCUUUGGAAACUGUUUAACUUGAGUGCAGAAGGGGAGAGUGGAAUUCCAUGUGUAGCGGUGAAAUGCGUAGAUAUAUGGAGGAACACCGGUGGCGAAAGCGGCUCUCUGGUCUGUAACUGACGCUGAGGCUCGAAAGCGUGGGGAGCAAACAGG
RNAcentral lists this ribosomal RNA (731 nucleotides) under uncultured Leptotrichia sp. RNAcentral's name for it is "bacterial SSU rRNA". It matches the Rfam family "Bacterial small subunit ribosomal RNA", at positions 28 to 776 of the family's 1533-position model. Lineage: Bacteria; Fusobacteriati; Fusobacteriota; Fusobacteriia; Fusobacteriales; Leptotrichiaceae. The record is from RNAcentral.